This 267-nucleotide ribosomal RNA is filed under the name uncultured bacterium. Its description in RNAcentral is "partial 16S ribosomal RNA". It matches the Rfam family "Bacterial small subunit ribosomal RNA", at positions 88 to 353 of the family's 1533-position model. The record is from RNAcentral.
UAAGUUAGUGGCGGACGGGUGAGUAACGCGUGGGUAACCUGCCUUGUACUGGGGGACAACAGUUGGAAACGACUGCUAAUACCGCAUAAGCGCACAGCUUCGCAUGAAACAGUGUGAAAAACUCCGGUGGUACAAGAUGGACCCGCGUCUGAUUAGCUGGUUGGUGAGGUAACGGCCCACCAAGGCGACGAUCAGUAGCCGGCCUGAGAGGGUGAACGGCCACAUUGGGACUGAGACACGGCCCAAACUCCUACGGGAGGCAGCAUG